Molecule: ribosomal RNA, 373 nt
Filed under: uncultured organism
Description: partial 16S ribosomal RNA
Rfam family: Bacterial small subunit ribosomal RNA
Source: RNAcentral
GUAGGUGGCAAGCGUUGUCCGGAAUUAUUGGGCGUAAAGCGCGCGCAGGCGGUUCUUUAAGUCUGAUGUGAAAGCCCACGGCUCAACCGUGGAGGGUCAUUGGAAACUGGAGAACUUGAGUACAGAAGAGGAAAGCGGAAUUCCACGUGUAGCGGUGAAAUGCGUAGAGAUGUGGAGGAACACCAGUGGCGAAGGCGGCUUUCUGGUCUGUAACUGACGCUGAGGCGCGAAAGCGUGGGGGAGCAAACAGGAUUAGAUACCCUGGUAGUCCACGCCGUAAACGAUGAGUGCUAAGUGUUAGGGGGUUUCCGCCCCUUAGUGCUGCAGCUAACGCAUUAAGCACUCCGCCCUGGGGAGUACGGCCGCAAGGCUG